RNAcentral lists this long non-coding RNA (240 nucleotides) under Sorghum bicolor (sorghum). RNAcentral describes it as "long non-coding RNA (SBIC_LNC012270)". Lineage: Eukaryota; Viridiplantae; Streptophyta; Magnoliopsida; Poales; Poaceae. The record is from RNAcentral.
ACACCAUCCACCACCAUUCAUUAAAAUUGCUAAAAAAUAUUAUCACUCACUGUCCCAAGUGUUGUUAUUCUCUCUAUCUAAAAAGACUCAUUGUAGAAGAGGCAUGGGCUAUGCAAAAAUAUGCGAGGAAAUAAAAAGGGGCAAGUGCCCGGAACCUCGAAAAAGAAAUAAAAAGAGUGAGACGAGAGGUAAAAAUGGACAAGUGUCCGGAGUAGAAUUAGGGGUACAAAGAUGCCCACU